UACGUAGGGUGCGAGCGUUAAUCGGAAUUACUGGGCGUAAAGCGUGCGCAGGCGGUUCGUUGUGUCGGUGGUGAAAGCCCCGGGCUUAACCUGGGAAUGGCCAUGGAAACUGGCGAACUGGAGUGUGGCAGAGGGGGGUGGAAUUCCGCGUGUAGCAGUGAAAUGCGUAGAUAUCGGGAGGAACAUCAGUGGCGAAGGCGGCCUUCUGGUCCAGUACUGACACUCAAGUGCGAAAGCGUGGGGAGCAAACAGG
RNAcentral lists this ribosomal RNA (253 nucleotides) under uncultured bacterium. RNAcentral's name for it is "partial 16S ribosomal RNA". It matches the Rfam family "Bacterial small subunit ribosomal RNA", at positions 524 to 776 of the family's 1533-position model. The record is from RNAcentral.